UAGCCUCAAGAAUUCAGGCAGUUGGCACC
This 29-nucleotide non-coding RNA is filed under the name Rattus norvegicus (Norway rat). Lineage: Eukaryota; Metazoa; Chordata; Mammalia; Rodentia; Muridae. The record is from RNAcentral.